GGUUCCGUGGCCGAGCGGCGAGGCACUUGUUUGCAAAACUUGUUACAACAGUUCAAGUCUGUUCGGAACCU
This 71-nucleotide transfer RNA is filed under the name Bacteroidia bacterium. Its description in RNAcentral is "tRNA-Cys". It matches the Rfam family "tRNA". From Rfam's summary of the family: Transfer RNA (tRNA) molecules are approximately 80 nucleotides in length. Their secondary structure includes four short double-helical elements and three loops (D, anti-codon, and T loops). The record is from RNAcentral. Lineage: Bacteria; Pseudomonadati; Bacteroidota; Bacteroidia.